CAGAGGUCCCAAGCGUUGUUCGGAUUCACUGGGCGUAAAGGGUGCGCAGGUGGGUUUGCAAGUUCGAUGUGGAAGCCCCGGGCUUAACCCGGGAAUGGCAUUGGAUACUGCAGAUCUGGGGGGAUUGGAGGGGGGACUGGAAUUCUUGGUGUAGCAGUGAAAUGCGUAGAUAUCAAGAGGAACACCAGUGGCGAAGGCGAGUCCCUGGACAAUACCUGACACUGAGGCACGAAAGCUAGGGGAGCAAACAGGAUUAGAUACCCUGGUAGUCCUAGCUGUAAACGGUGCGCAUUUGCUGUAAACGGAAUCGACCCCGUUUGUGGCGAAGCUAACGCGAUAAAUGCGCCGCCUGGGAAGUACGGUCGCAAGAUUA
Molecule: ribosomal RNA, 373 nt
Filed under: uncultured organism
Description: bacterial SSU rRNA
Rfam family: Bacterial small subunit ribosomal RNA
Source: RNAcentral